GGGGUUGUGGCUCAGCGGUAGAGUGCUCGCCCUCACAUGUGUGAGACCCUGGGUUGGAUCCUCAGCACCACA
This 72-nucleotide transfer RNA is filed under the name Marmota monax (woodchuck). Its description in RNAcentral is "tRNA.Undet". The record is from RNAcentral. Lineage: Eukaryota; Metazoa; Chordata; Mammalia; Rodentia; Sciuridae.